Molecule: small RNA, 39 nt
Filed under: Arabidopsis thaliana (thale cress)
Lineage: Eukaryota; Viridiplantae; Streptophyta; Magnoliopsida; Brassicales; Brassicaceae
Description: ATSL242790
Source: RNAcentral
CCAACAGAGUAAUAUCAUGUCUGACCGGAACCAUACAAC